RNAcentral lists this long non-coding RNA (302 nucleotides) under Salvia miltiorrhiza (redroot sage). RNAcentral describes it as "long non-coding RNA (SMIL_LNC002220)". Lineage: Eukaryota; Viridiplantae; Streptophyta; Magnoliopsida; Lamiales; Lamiaceae. The record is from RNAcentral.
GCGGAGGGAGUAUUAAAUUAUUUCAUUAUUAAACCUAAAUUAACAAAAUUAAAUUAACUAAUUUCGAAAAACCGGAAAUGAAGGAUUGGUUUAUUAAAACAAUUUCUUAAAAUGCGAAUGUUUCAUUCAAGAUUAGGUAGUUUUAGAAUUGAAGUUACUUCAAUAUUGCAAAAGCUUGGGCAGCCCAAAAGAAUAAAUAAAAAAUCGAGCCCAAAUCAUUCACCCCUAAAAUUGAGAGUUCAAAAGCAUAAAGAGAGCCUUAAUCUUCUCCUUCAAGAGCCGUCCCCCGUUUCCUCUUCAAC